CCUACGGGUGGCAGCAGUGGGGGAUAUUGCACAAUGGGGGAAACCCUGAUGCAGCGACGCCGCGUGGGUGAAGAAGUAUUUCGGUAUGUAAAGCCCUAUCAGCAGGGAAGAAAGAAGACGGUACCUGACUAAGAAGCCCCGGCUAACUACGUGCCAGCAGCCUCGGUAAUACGUAGGGGGCGCGCGUUAUCCGGAUUCACUGGGUGUAAAGGGAUCGUAGACGGCCGUGCAAGCCAGGGGGGAAAGCCCGGGGCCCAACCCCGGGACUGCUCUUGGAACUGGGCGGCUGGAGUGCGGGGGGGGCAGGCGGAAUGCCUGGUGUAGCGGUGAAAUGCGUAGAUAUCAGGAGGAACACCGGCGGCGAAGGCGGCCUGCUGGACCGCGACUGACGUUGAGGCUCGAAAGCGUGGGGAGCGAACAGGAUUAGAUACCCUUGUAGUC
Molecule: ribosomal RNA, 441 nt
Filed under: uncultured bacterium
Lineage: Bacteria
Description: partial 16S ribosomal RNA
Rfam family: Bacterial small subunit ribosomal RNA
Source: RNAcentral